Molecule: RNA transcript, 2508 nt
Organism: Zea mays
Lineage: Eukaryota; Viridiplantae; Streptophyta; Magnoliopsida; Poales; Poaceae
Gene name: biopterin transport-related protein BT1
Exons: 9
Source: RefSeq, marked validated
GGGUGGUGGGCCCACUAUGGCAUAGAGAGAAUCAGAGAAACAUGGGGGCAUGGAGCAUUCGUUGCGCUGCGCCAAAUCUCGCUUCCAGCUCCGGCCCGGUGUGCUCCGCAGGCUCCACCUCCGCGUCCUCUCAAGUCUCAAACGCUCAAGGUCUCACCGGAGACCGCGCCGCGCCCCGCGGGCUUCUGGUAGCUCGGGAUGGCCUCCGGGGGCUCGGCCGCACGUGACGCGUACGACGAGGAGGCCGCCGUCCGCCGCCCCCUCGAGCUCGAUAGCCGUGACGCCGCCGCCUCGUCCUCCGACCACUGGCCCGGUGGGAAUGCCAUGCCUAGGUAUCAAGUGGGCUUGACAAAGGAUGAUUCAAGUAGUAGACACUCUGAGUGGCGGCAGCCUAGCACAGAUGAUGUGCGCAAGAGCAAGCUCGGGCCAAGAUACUUCACGGCGUUUGGCGUGGAUCUGUCCCCUGAUAAUAUGGCAGUUGCCAUUGUCUAUUUUGUGCAAGGGGUUCUGGGUCUUGCACGGCUUGCUGUGAGCUUUUACUUAAAAGAUGAUCUCCAUCUAGAUCCAGCUGAGACCGCAGUGGUAUCUGGUUUCUCGUCCUUGCCGUGGUUGAUCAAGCCCCUCUAUGGCUUUAUCAGUGAUUCCAUUCCACUCUUUGGAUAUCGAAGGAGGUCGUACCUUUUUCUGUCAGGGUUACUUGGAGCACUUUCAUGGAGUUUAAUGGCCACAGUAGUGAGCAGUAAAUACAGUGCAGCAUCCUCUAUUCUUCUUGGCUCACUUUCUGUUGCCUUCUCAGAUGUUGUAGUGGAUUCUAUGGUUGUUGAGAGAGCCCGUGGAGAAUCUCAAAGCACAUCUGGAUCACUCCAGUCGCUCUGUUGGGGAUCUUCUGCCUUUGGAGGAAUUGUGAGUGCUUACUUCAGCGGUUCGCUUGUGGAUACUUAUGGAAUUUGUCUUUGGUGUAACAGCGUUUUUACCCCUGAUGACAUCUGCUGUUGCAGUUCUUGUAAAUGAACAUCGCAUAUCUUCUGGAGAACGUACUACCUUACACUCUGGUUCAGGAUUCGUUGAGAGUUCUAAGCAGCACGUCAGGCAGCUUUGGACUUCAGUAAAGCAGCCUAACAUAUUGUUGCCGACCUUGUUUAUAUUUCUUUGGCAAGCAACACCACAGUCAGAUUCUGCUAUGUUUUUCUUCAUCACAAAUAAGCUUGGAUUCACACCAGAGUUUCUAGGGCGUGUGAAGCUUGUAACCUCCUUUGCAUCCCUGCUCGGUGUUGGGCUCUACAACUAUUUUCUGAAGGAAGUUCCUCUAAGGAAAAUAUUUCUCGUGACAACCAUUAUAGGUUCAGCUCUUGGGAUGACACAGGUGCUUCUUGUAACUGGGCUAAAUCGGAAGUUUGGGAUUAGUGACGAGUGGUUUUCUAUUGGUGAUUCAUUAAUCAUCACAGUCCUUGGUCAGGCUUCAUUUAUGCCAGUCUUGGUGUUAGCUGCAAAACUGUGCCCUCCAGGAAUGGAAGCCACUUUAUUUGCAACUUUGAUGUCAAUUUCUAAUGCUGGAAGUGUUACUGGUGGUCUGGUUGGUGCUGGUCUAACUCGGAUAUUUGGGGUCACCAGGGACACCUUUGGGAACCUACCUCUAUUGAUUGUCGUCUGCAAUCUUAGUUCGCUGCUGCCCUUACCUCUUCUAAGUCUCCUGCCAGAGGAAUCAGGUGACACAGACAAUGGAGAAACAAAGAAUAUCUGACUUGCUGAGGGUUUCAUCUCUGUUUGUUCUGAUUCUCAAGUAUAGCAUACCACAGUGCCCAGCUUCAACUCAGAUAUGACCCAUCCAGUUGAAGUUCAAAAGAUCAGUGGGCAAAUAUGAAAAUCAUACUGGAGAUAAGUUCAGUUAGUCACCACCACCAUCAGCCAGUAUCUCCUGCGACUAUUAACCUGUGAUCAAAGCGAUUCAUUGGUGAUCAAAACGACUAUUAACCUGCGAUUCAUUGGCGCACAGGUAAUCACCACUUUUUUUAGUUUAUAUAAGUUACCUUGCAUACGAAGGCAAGGUCGGUUUUAUCUUUCUCUACAUUCUUUGAGUUUUUUGUUAGCUAAUGCUGCGACCCCAUGAAAACUAGAGUAGGGGUCAAAGACUAGUAGUUGAGGAUUCCCUUACAAAGUCGAAUGUAUUGUAACCAAAAAAAAAGAGAGGGAAUAUUUAUGCAUUAUGGAGGCCUAGAGUACGGACACGUAAAGGAAAAUACUUGCACACAAUUCGCCUUGCCGUACAGUAUCAGGUUCUGCUUACAUCACUAGGCCCAAAUGAAGUGCAAUCACAGAGGCACAUACAGGAAAACUAUAGCACAACAGAAUUGCAGCACCCAUGCAUGGUCCGUAACAACCCACUGAAUUUUCGCAGUGCCAAGUACUGGUGUCAAUGAUAAAUUGAUAAUAGUGUGUAUAACCACAGAUCUAUUCUUUGAUGUCUGUUUGGGGGUUAACUUGAAAUAUGAUUUCAAUUUAUUGGCGAGU